RNAcentral lists this ribosomal RNA (377 nucleotides) under uncultured organism. RNAcentral's name for it is "partial 16S ribosomal RNA". It matches the Rfam family "Bacterial small subunit ribosomal RNA", at positions 527 to 896 of the family's 1533-position model. The record is from RNAcentral.
GUAGGUGGCAAGCGUUGUCCGGAAUUAUUGGGCGUAAAGCGCGCGCAGGCGGUUCUUUAAGUCUGAUGUGAAAGCCCUCGGCUCAACCGUGGAGGGUCAUUGGAAACUGGAGAACUUGAGUACAGAAGAGGAAAGCGGAAUUCCACGUGUAGCGGUGAAAUGCGUAGAGAUGUGGAGGAACACCAGUGGCGAAGGCGGCUUUCUGGUCUGUAACUGACGCUGAGGCGCGAAAGCGUGGGGAGCAAACAGGAUUAGAUACCCUGGUAGUCCACGCCGUAAACGAUGAGUGCUAAGUGUUAGGGGGGUUUUCCGCCCCCCUUAGUGCUGCAGCUAACGCAUUAAGCACUCCGCCCUGGGUAGGUACGGCCGCAAGGCUG